GACCUCAGAUCAGGCAAGGCUACCCGCUGAAUUUAAGC
Molecule: ribosomal RNA, 38 nt
Filed under: Favia cf. maritima DH-2011
Lineage: Eukaryota; Metazoa; Cnidaria; Anthozoa; Scleractinia; Faviidae
Description: partial 28S ribosomal RNA
Source: RNAcentral